This 350-nucleotide ribosomal RNA is filed under the name uncultured bacterium. Its description in RNAcentral is "bacterial SSU rRNA". It matches the Rfam family "Bacterial small subunit ribosomal RNA", at positions 486 to 835 of the family's 1533-position model. The record is from RNAcentral.
AUAAGCACCGGCUAACUUCGUGCCAGCAGCCGCGGUAAUACGAAGGGUGCAAGCGUUAAUCGGAAUUACUGGGCGUAAAGCGCGCGUAGGUGGUUUGUUAAGUUGAAUGUGAAAGCCCCGGGCUCAACCUGGGAACUGCAUCCAAAACUGGCAAGCUAGAGUAUGGCAAAGGGAGGUGGAAUUUCCUGUGUAGCGGUGAAAUGCGUANAUAUAAGAAGGAACACCAGUGGCGAAGGCNACCUCCUGGNCUAAUACUGACACUGAGGUGCGAAAGCGUGGGGAGCAAACAGGAUUANAUACCCUGGUAGUCCACACCGUAAACGAUGUCUNCUAGCCGUUGGGAUCCUUGA